UUUCAAGUUUGGUUUUAGAAAGAGACUAUAGAAUUAGAGACAACCGGAAAGAUGCGACAGAAAGAUAACAGAGAGAAGCCGCCGCACCAGCGAGCCACCGGCGGUAAUGACAGUGGUACCAGAGUUUCCGGUCACCCCGGCGGUGGUCAACAGCUGCAACCCAAUAUGGCGUCCUUUAUGCUUCUUUUCUUUCUCUAAUUGUGUUAUAUAUGUUACUUUAUUGUAUUUGAAUAUUCUGUCUAUAUGUUUGUUGUAGGCUUGAGGCUGCACUUGCAGUGUUUAAGCAAUUACCUGAUACCAUCUCAUGGUAAAUAAUUUGACCUUAUUUUCCAUGUUCAAACUGCUAAUGCAAACUAUUGAAGCUGCUAGACACGGUUGGGCCAAUCAGCAAGUACAUGCUAAGGGUUUGUGGAGGUUUGAUUCAAUGAUUUUUUAACUACAAAUCGGCCAGUACAUCUGUACGUGGCACCGUUUGAUUUUCAUAUCCUAGGUAACCAAUGGCUGGACACCUACUACGUAAUGGUGAGCUGGUUCCUGAAGAACUUUUUGAAGACACCCGAGAUGACCCGAAAGAGCUUGGAAAGUUCGACAAAGCCACUACAGAUUCUUACAUCAACUAAUUUAGGGUUUGAAAAGAACCUGUAAUUCCUGCAAGCAGCUAUGUCACCACACUUGUCAAACUGGGUUGUCAACUGAUUGAGUUGUAGCAUACACAGAUAAGUAUAUUAUUAUUCAUUGAAUUGCCCUUAACGUGGAGAUGUUUACAUAUUUUGGUUUUUGCAUAUGAUUCAUCGACUAAUCCUAUAAAGUUUCUAGGGUGCAACCGUGUCUCAAGAUGUUUCACAAAAGCUACUGCAAGCAAUCCCUACUCACAACACAUGGAACAAUACAAAACCAACAGUUCAGACCUGGAAAAAGAUGUGAGGCCGCUGCGAAUGCUGUGAGAACUUGUACUCUUUGCAAUGUUGUUUACUAACAAUUAAAGCAACCUGGUGCUGUGUAAGUAUGGAUCUUGCCAAGAAAGCUGGUAAAUUCUAUAUGCUUUUCUUCUAGCUAAGCUUCUUGCAACAAACAUAUUAGAUGUCUGAUUGUUAGCAAAGUUAGUUAGGCAUCGUGUGUACUUAUUUUUACAUGUAACAAUUAUAAUAAUGAUACCUAUUAUCAUUUCCAUGUACUUAAGUAUUUUUCAAUUGUCAAUAAGAUUGAUUAAAACAGGGGGAUUGAAGCACAA
Molecule: long non-coding RNA, 1231 nt
Filed under: Helianthus annuus (common sunflower)
Lineage: Eukaryota; Viridiplantae; Streptophyta; Magnoliopsida; Asterales; Asteraceae
Source: RNAcentral